Molecule: ribosomal RNA, 378 nt
Filed under: Triticum aestivum (bread wheat)
Lineage: Eukaryota; Viridiplantae; Streptophyta; Magnoliopsida; Poales; Poaceae
Description: partial small subunit ribosomal RNA
Source: RNAcentral
AUGAAACCUAGGUCAUGUGACUCGCGUCACCAACUCAUGUCCCCUUCCAAGCACCACAGCGCCUGCCCUACCCGCCGUCACAGUCCCACGCUCCCACCCCACAGGCAUUGCACUCUGUCGCAGGUCCACAUCCGCACUGUCGUGACGUGCAAGACGGAGGUGGAAGCUGCGUUUGGCAGGCGACGAUGCUGGCCAUCGUCUAUCGACUCGGCGAUGCAGCAUGACAUCGAUGAUUCAAAUAACACAAGAAGGAUGCCACCAUCAUUCUCGAAGCCGCGGCCGAUCAAGAGACAUGGAUUUGGCAUGCAUUUUUUGGGAUGCCUGGAUCUUGCAAUGACAUCAAUGUGUUUCAUCGGUCACCACUCUUUGCAAUGUUAG